UGGGGAAUUUUGGACAAUGGGCGAAAGCCUGAUCCAGCAAUGCCGCGUGUGUGAAGAAGGCCUUCGGGUUGUAAAGCACUUUUGUCCGGAAAGAAAUCCUUGGCUCUAAUACAGUCGGGGGAUGACGGUACCGGAAGAAUAAGCACCGGUUAACUACGUGCCAGCAGCCGCGGUAAUACGUAGGGUGCAAGCGUUAAUCGGAAUUACUGGGCGUAAAGCGUGCGCAGGCGGUUUGCUAAGACCGAUGUGAAAUCCCCGGGCUCAACCUGGGAACUGCAUUGGUGACUGGCAGGCUAGAGUAUGGCAGAGGGGGGUAGAAUUCCACGUGUAGCAGUGAAAUGCGUAGAGAUGUGGAGGAAUACCGAUGGCGAAGGCAGCCCCCUGGGCCAAUACUGACGCUCAUGCACGAAAGCGUGGGGAGCAAACAGGAUUAGAUACCCUGGUAGUCCACGCCCUAAACGAUGUCAACUAGUUGUUGGGGGUUCAUUUCCUUAGUAACGUGAGCUAACGCGUGAAGUUGACCGCCUGGGGAGUACGGUCGCAAGAUU
RNAcentral lists this ribosomal RNA (548 nucleotides) under uncultured bacterium. Its description in RNAcentral is "partial 16S ribosomal RNA". It matches the Rfam family "Bacterial small subunit ribosomal RNA", at positions 355 to 895 of the family's 1533-position model. The record is from RNAcentral.